RNAcentral lists this unclassified non-coding RNA (422 nucleotides) under Hevea brasiliensis (rubber tree). The record is from RNAcentral. Lineage: Eukaryota; Viridiplantae; Streptophyta; Magnoliopsida; Malpighiales; Euphorbiaceae.
GUCAGCCUUAAAAUCAUAUCCAGUUCCAGGCUGCAGAACUUCUGGUGCCAUCCAGCACGGAGUUCCUACAAAGGUAUUCCUAGACCGCUGUCUAUCACCACUGUCAAACAUGCAUGCGGAAACACCAAAAUCGCCCAGCUUUACUGCCCCAUUAGUGUCCAGUAAUAUAUUCCCAGCCUUCACAUCUCGAUGUAUGUGCCCAUGUCGAUGGAGAUAUUCCAACGCCUUGAGAGUUUCCUUCAACAUAGAACAAAUAGCAGAUUCUUCGAAUCCAUCUGGAUAUGCUAUUUUCAUGAGAUGUAGACAAGAGCCCUCAGCCAUGAAGGGCAUUACCACCCAUAGGUAGUUCUCAACAACAAAUGAACAGAAUGACUUUAUUACAUUAGGAUGGUCUAUCAAACUCAUAGUUUGAGCUUCCCUGC